AGUGAACGCUGGCGGUAGGCCUAACACAUGCAAGUCGAACGGCAGCACAGUAAGAGCUUGCUCUUACGGGUGGCGAGUGGCGGACGGGUGAGGAAUACAUCGGAAUCUACUUUUUCGUGGGGGAUAACGUAGGGAAACUUACGCUAAUACCGCAUACGACCUACGGGUGAAAGCAGGGGAUCUUCGGACCUUGCGCGAUUGAAUGAGCCGCUGUCGGAUUAGCUAGUUGGCGGGGUAAAGACCCACCAAGGCGACGAUCCGUAGCUGGUCUGAGAGGAUGGUCGGCCACACUGGAACUGAGACACGGUCCAGACUCCUACGGGAGGCAGCAGUGGGGAAUAUUGGACAAUGGGCGCAAGCCUGAUCCAGCCAUACCGCGUGGGUGAAGAAGGCCUUCGGGUUGUAAAGCCCUUUUGUUGGGAAAGAAAAGCAGCAGGUUAAUACCCCGCUGUUCUGACGGUACCCAAAGAAUAAGCACCGGCUAACUUCGUG
Molecule: ribosomal RNA, 492 nt
Filed under: uncultured bacterium
Lineage: Bacteria
Description: partial 16S ribosomal RNA
Rfam family: Bacterial small subunit ribosomal RNA
Source: RNAcentral